This is an RNA transcript of Panicum hallii, 3448 nucleotides long. It is a transcript of the gene named pentatricopeptide repeat-containing protein At5g03800, with no coding region annotated. Lineage: Eukaryota; Viridiplantae; Streptophyta; Magnoliopsida; Poales; Poaceae. The transcript is spliced from 2 exons. The record is from RefSeq and is a predicted model, not a curated record.
CCGCUGCCCAAAGCUUAGCUCCGCGCAGGUCGGAGUGAAAUGAAUGGCCAUCUCCACCUCAUCCCCCUCCUCCUCCCCUCCCCAUCCCCGCCUCUCACCCCCGCCCCUUCCCUCCUCUCCUCCUUCCCGCCCCCGCCGCCUUCCCCGCCGCCCACCCAUGGUCUCCCCCUCCGCGCCGCCGCCGACCCCCGCGCCGCGCACGCGGUGGCGGUCAAGUCCGGCGCGCUGGGCCCCUCCCUCUCCCCAGCCCACGCGGACGCCCGCGCCGCGAACGCCGUCAUGUGCGCGUACCUACGCGCGGGCCGCCUGGCCGACGCGCGCGGGGUGUUCGACCGGAUGCCCGCGCGCGACGCGGCCACCUACAGCGCGCUCAUCUCGGGCCACGCGCGCCUCGGCUCCCCGGCCGCCGCCGCCGCCGCGCUGCUCUCCCGCAUGCGCCUCGACGACGCGCUGGCGCCCACCGAGUACACCUUCGUCGGCCUCCUCACCGCCUGCGCGCGCAGGGGCAACCCGCGGCUCGGGGCCCAGGUGCACGCCCUCGCCGCCAAGUCUGGCCACUGCUCCUGCCCCGGCCCCGGCCCCGGCCCCGGACCGGGGUCGCUCCUCGUCGACAACGCGCUCCUCGGCAUGUACGUCAAGUGCGGCCGCCUCGGGGACGCGCUGAGGGCGUUCGGCGGGAUGGAGCGCCGCGACGUCUCGUCGUGGAACGCCGUCCUGGCCGGCCUCGUCGAGCUGGGGCGGCACGGGGAGGCGUUCGAGCUGUUCGGCGAGAUGCGGGCGGACGGGGUACGCGCCGACGGCUUCUCCCUGUCGGCGCUCCUGGCCGCGGCGGGGGAGGGGUUCGGCCUCCCCGAGGGGGAGGCGGUGCACGCGCUCUCGCUCAAGUCCGGGCUGGAGACGGACUUGAGCGUGGGUAACGCGCUCAUCGGGUUCUACGCCGAGCACGGCUGCUCCGUUGAAGACGUGGUCAGCGUGUUCCAAGGAAUGCCGGUGAAGGAUGUGAUCUCGUGGACUGGGUUGCUGAACGCGUACAUGGAGUUCGGUCUGGUCGACAUGGCUCUGGACGUGUUUGAUCGGAUGCCGCAGAGGAACUUUAUCACAUACAAUGCGGUCCUAACCGGUUUCUGUCAGAACAAGGAAGGUGUGCGGGUCACGUUCGCGAAGAAGGCAGGGCUCCGAGGCCUGAGGCUGUUUAGGCAGAUGGUGGAGGAUGGGCUGGAGAUCUCAGAUGUCACGGUGACUGGUGCCCUGAAUGCCUGUGCUAUUGCUGCAGAUAGGAAGAUGAGUGAGCAGGUUCAUGCUUUUGUGAUUAAGUGCGGCUGUGGCUCUACUCCUUGGAUUGAUGCUGCGUUGAUCGAUAUGUGCAUCAAGUGUGGCCGUUCCGGGGACGCACAUCUGCUGUUUGAGCAAUGGCGCCACCAAGAGAGCUUUCAUAUUGCUUGGAAUUCUUUGCUGCUGGCUAGUGUCAGAGAUGGUGAGUACGAGAAAGCACUUUCAACCUUCCUUCAGAUGUUUAGAAGCAGUGGUGUAGGAUUCAUUGAUGAGUUUAUGUUGACUGCUGCCCUUGGAGUAUGUGGUGCUCUAGGUUUUGCUGAACUUGGGAAGCAAAUGCAUUCCUUUUCUGCAAAAUCUGGGCUUCUGGAUGCUUGUGGAGUCGGUAAUGCUAUUAUCAGUAUGUAUGGCAAGUGUGGGGAGUUGGAUGAUGCAGUCAGUUUCUUUGAGCGGAUGACUUGUCGAGACCUGGUGUCAUGGAAUGCAAUGAUCACUGCCCAUCUUCUUCAUGGUCAGGGAGAAGAGAUAUUGGACAUAUGGGGCCAGAUGGAGAGAUUAGGCAUGAGGCCUGAUUCCAUUACCUUUCUUCUGGUCAUAUCUUCUUGCAGCCACACAAGCUCAGACUCUACAGACCAAUGCAGGGAACUCUUUGUUUCUAUGUCAAGCAAAUACGGAAUUGAACCAGCCAUGGAGCACUAUGCAGCAUUUGUUAACGUCCUUGGCUGCUGGGGUCACUUUGAUGAGGCAGAACAGCUUAUAGGCGGUAUGCCAUUCAAGCCUGGUGCGUUAGUUUGGCGGUCUUUGCUAGACAGCUGCAGCAAGCGCUCCAACACGACCGUCCGAAGAUGGGCUAUGAAGCAUCUGCUUGCAUUGGAACCACAGGAUCCAUCCACGUAUGUGCUGGCAUCAAACCUCUUCUCCGAAUCAGCAAGGUGGCACUCCUCCGAGAACACAAGACUGGAGAUGCGCGAGAAGGGCAUGCGCAAGAUCCCGGCACGGAGCUGGACGUUCCACGACAACGUCGUCCACUCGUUCUUUGCGCGGGACAGGUCGCACCCGCAGUCCAGGGACAUCUUCGCCGGCCUGGACGUGCUGAUCCUCGAGUGCAUCAAGGCUGGGUACGAGCCAGACACCACCUUCGUCCUGCACGACGUCGAGGAGUACCAGAAGCGGCACUUCCUGAUGUACCACAGCGCGAAGCUGGCGGCCAUGUACGGCCUCCUGACGGCACGCCCCGGUCGGACCGUCCGCGUCGUGAAGAACAUCCGCAUGUGCGGCGACUGCCACUCUUUCCUGGAGCACGCCUCCGCCGCCACCGGCAAGGUGCUCUCGGUGAGAGACUCGUCCGGGUUCCACGUCUUCAGGGGAGGGAGGUGUUCCUGCAGAGAAUAGGGACUGCCGGAAUGGUACCACCAUUUUUGACAUGCUUGCAGUUUAGGAAAAUACAGAAGAUAUCCCUGUAUUGAGGUUCUUGUACAUCACUGUGACAAUCUUCAGAAGCCUAACGCAUUCACGCGAGGACAUGCUCGGAUCAAAUCAAGACCAGCCAGGCAGCUUGCCCGUGCCGCCGCCACAGUACCGCCAGGCCAGGUAAGCGCAGAGGCAGCCGCCGGCGACGAGCCCCGCCGCCGCGAGAGCCUGCACGAACGCACGCGUCUCAUUAUAGGGCCCGGCGGUGAGCUGCCACGUGCAAAUCAAAUGCCUUCUCUGUACGUACUCACCUUGCGCGUGCCGGGCGGCUUCCCGGCGCGGCGGCCGUCGUCAGCGUCGGCCCCGGCCGGGACGAGCACGUCGUCGACCAAGGCGGCCGCGGCGCACCGGUCGUACGAGCCGCCGAGGCCGCGGCGGCCCGCCGGCGUCGCCAGCGGCCGGUCGUCGUCCUCCGCGUCGGAGUCGCUCCACGCCAGCAACCUCCUGUCCAGGGUCGGCAUGGCGGCCGGCGAGACGCCGGGGAGUUUCCCUGCCGCCGCACGCGGGGAAGCCAAACGGCCUGUCGCGCGGUUACUACCAAUUCGAGACCAACAACUGCCCGUUUAAUUACUUGGCGCUGGCGUUUCCAUUUUAUACGGGUGCCGGCGCCUGAUGGUCGAGCCCGUGGUUAGUUUCGUGCUGAUCGAGCUUGUGCUGGACUAGGUGCUAUCAUUAGGGUGUUAUGGACGGGUACUAGUUUUUCACA